GUUCCUAUUCAACUGUCUACAGCAUUCAUAUGCUUGAGAGGAUUCAUAUGCUUCUCCGGUUCGGUGGUUGUGGUGUCUGCUGCAGUGCUUGGAGUCCUCAGGAAGCGCUAGGAGCAUCCUUUAACGGAGGUACCCAGUCGGGGUGCCAGGCGAUCCGUUACAUUGGUGGCAGCGGUGGGAUGGCGUCCUAGUGCGAGGUAAAGCAGCUCAGAGACACAGUUCGU
Non-coding RNA from Pelobates cultripes (western spadefoot toad), 224 nucleotides. The record is from the annotation of a GenBank genome assembly. NCBI's taxonomy places the organism in Eukaryota, Metazoa, Chordata, Amphibia, Anura, Pelobatidae.